Molecule: long non-coding RNA, 339 nt
Organism: Balaenoptera musculus (blue whale)
Lineage: Eukaryota; Metazoa; Chordata; Mammalia; Artiodactyla; Balaenopteridae
Exons: 4
Source: RefSeq, a predicted model, not a curated record
CAGAGUGUUUGCUGCAAAAUGAAGAUGAUGAAGCAACUGGAAUUUGUAUCUGCCAAGAGAGGCUUUGUCUUUACUUGCUUGGUUGCCAUUGGAAACUCUGCCUGACCAUGUGGUAACAUCACCCAUUUCCCAAGGUUCAGAAACCAAUGCGCCUCUGAAGGGAAGCAGAACGUUUCUCUCUUUACACCCUCUGAAAUAUGUGCUCCAGUCAUGAAGCAGAGAAUAUUACAGUGAAGACAGGGAGUUAAAUGAAGUUUGGAGACGGUAUAAUGAACCUCUGAAGUUAGAAAAUGAUACCAAUUCUGAUCUUUAAGCCCUGGAAUAGAAUCUGGCGAUGGA